RNAcentral lists this ribosomal RNA (425 nucleotides) under uncultured bacterium. RNAcentral describes it as "partial 16S ribosomal RNA". It matches the Rfam family "Bacterial small subunit ribosomal RNA", at positions 354 to 796 of the family's 1533-position model. The record is from RNAcentral.
GUGGGGAAUCUUGCGCAAUGGGCGAAAGCCUGACGCAGCCAUGCCGCGUGAAUGAUGAAGGUCUUAGGAUUGUAAAAUUCUUUCACCGGGGACGAUAAUGACGGUACCCGGAGAAGAAGCCCCGGCUAACUUCGUGCCAGCAGCCGCGGUAAUACGAAGGGGGCUAGCGUUGCUCGGAAUUACUGGGCGUAAAGGGCGCGUAGGCGGACAGUUUAGUCAGAGGUGAAAGCCCAGGGCUCAACCUUGGAAUUGCCUUUGAUACUGGCUGUCUGGAGUACGGGAGAGGUGAGUGGAACUCCGAGUGUAGAGGUGAAAUUCGUAGAUAUUCGGAAGAACACCAGUGGCGAAGGCGACUCACUGGCCCGUUACUGACGCUGAGGCGCGAAAGCGUGGGGAGCAAACAGGAUUAGAAACCCGGGUAGUCC